AGCUUGCUUUUUCUAGGCGUCGACCGGCGCACGGGUGAGUAACGCGUAUCCAACCUGCCCACCACUUGGGGAUAACCUUGCGAAAGUAAGACUAAUACCCAAUGAUAUCUCUAGAAGACAUCUGAAGGAGAUUAAAGAUUUAUCGGUGAUGGAUGGGGAUGCGUCUGAUUAGCUUGUUGGCGGGGUAACGGCCCACCAAGGCGACGAUCAGUAGGGGUUCUGAGAGGAAGGUCCCCCACAUUGGAACUGAGACACGGUCCAAACUCCUACGGGAGGCAGCAGUGAGGAAUAUUGGUCAAUGGGCGAGAGCCUGAACCAGCCAAGUAGCGUGCAGGAUGACGGCCCUAUGGGUUGUAAACUGCUUUUAUAAGGGAAUAAAGUGGGAGUCGUGACUCCUUUUGCAUGUACCUUAUGAAUAAGGACCGGCUAAUUCCGUGCCAGCAGCCGCGGUAAUACGGAAGGUCCGGGCGUUAUCCGGAUUUAUUGGGUUUAAAGGGAGCGUAGGCCGGAGAUUAAGCGUGUUGUGAAAUGUAGAUGCUCAACGUCUGCACUGCAGCGCGAACUGGUUUCCUUGAGUACGCACAAAGUGGGCGGAAUUCGUGGUGUAGCGGUGAAAUGCUUAGAUAUCACGAAGAACUCCGAUUGCGAAGGCAGCUCACUGGAGCGCAACUGACGCUGAAGCUCGAAAGUGCGGGUAUCGAACAGGAUUAGAUACCCUGGUAGUCCGCACGGUAAACGAUGGAUGCCCGCUGUUGGUCUGAAUAGGUCAGCGGCCAAG
This 778-nucleotide ribosomal RNA is filed under the name uncultured Bacteroidota bacterium. Its description in RNAcentral is "bacterial SSU rRNA". It matches the Rfam family "Bacterial small subunit ribosomal RNA", at positions 71 to 851 of the family's 1533-position model. The record is from RNAcentral. Lineage: Bacteria; Pseudomonadati; Bacteroidota.